Heterocephalus glaber (naked mole-rat) is the source of this 976-nucleotide long non-coding RNA. Lineage: Eukaryota; Metazoa; Chordata; Mammalia; Rodentia; Bathyergidae. The record is from Ensembl.
GGCGUCCGGAGGAGCCGGCUCGGAGGGGCUGGGCUGGGCCGCCCCCGCCUCGCCCCCGCCUCCCCGGCCUCGCCGCUCCGUCGCCUCCUGGGACUGCGGCCCACGCGCCCCGCCCGCCCCGCUGAGGUGGAACCCGAGGCCGGAGCUUAGCGCCCAGUAAGCCUGGAAAAGGAAAAGGAGAAUUCAAAACUAAGAUUUGUCCUUACCCACCUUGCACGUCCUCAGAAGAUGUAAAAUCCUACCAUGGUCAAGGACUUGUACAUGGUGCAUACAAGAUCUGGUCCAUCCUGAGCACAUAAUUUUCCAUCCCAAGGAAGCAUGAGAGGAGCUCCUAUAUGUGACUGAGACAAGUCUAUCUUGGCCCAAAGAAAAACAUUUAUCCUAGGGCGUCUUUCAGAAAAGAGGAUCCAAAGCCUUUUAAUUGAGUCACUGCAGGGGAUCCUUGGGUCCAUAUUUAGCAAGACUGUCUCUGUCACCAAAAAUAAUGGAACACCACUCAGGACAACCAACAUUAAAAAGUCAACUACUUCAACUUUAAUCUUCCAGCUAAAACAUCUGUGUUUUAUACAGCCUUCAGAAAGGCAAAGGCCUUCUUGAAGACAUGUUCUGGAUCAACAUUUUUCACUUGAAAUGAAAGUACAGAAACCAGAAGAGACCUUGAAAUUCUCAUAGGACUAGAAAGACAAAUUUGGAAAUGUGAGGACACAAGAUUCCAAAGAGAAGAGACGAAUAAAUAACUGAACACUUGGAGAGCCAAUUUUCCCUCUAAGAAUUUUCCUAUAUCUGAGAUGAAUGACUUGAGAAGAGAUAUCCUCUGAAAAGCAUGGCAUUUAUUUUCUAUAGUCUCUUUGUAAUAUAAGAAUUGAAAUUCAGGAUUUGCCACAGGAUGCACCCCCACCACCACUACAGUGAAUUAACAGGUUCUCAGAAGAAAACACCAAAAAUCUACAUCUUAAGAUCUGAUAUGAAAAAGUAG